RNAcentral lists this transfer RNA (77 nucleotides) under Pelagibius litoralis. RNAcentral describes it as "tRNA-Arg". It matches the Rfam family "tRNA". From Rfam's summary of the family: Transfer RNA (tRNA) molecules are approximately 80 nucleotides in length. Their secondary structure includes four short double-helical elements and three loops (D, anti-codon, and T loops). Further hydrogen bonds mediate the characteristic L-shaped molecular structure. tRNAs have two regions of fundamental functional importance: the anti-codon, which is responsible for specific mRNA codon recognition, and the 3' end, to which the tRNAs corresponding amino acid is attached (by aminoacyl-tRNA synthetases). tRNAs cope with the degeneracy of the genetic code in two manners: having more than one tRNA (with a specific anti-codon) for a particular amino acid; and 'wobble' base-pairing, i.e. permitting non-standard base-pairing at the 3rd anti-codon position. RNAcentral also lists the same sequence under 20 other names. Lineage: Bacteria; Pseudomonadati; Pseudomonadota; Alphaproteobacteria; Rhodospirillales; Rhodovibrionaceae. The record is from RNAcentral.
GGACCCGUAGCUCAGCUGGAUAGAGCGCUGCCCUCCGAAGGCAGAGGUCACAGGUUCGAAUCCUGUCGGGUCCGCCA